RNAcentral lists this ribosomal RNA (253 nucleotides) under uncultured bacterium. Its description in RNAcentral is "partial 16S ribosomal RNA". It matches the Rfam family "Bacterial small subunit ribosomal RNA", at positions 524 to 776 of the family's 1533-position model. The record is from RNAcentral.
UACGGAGGGUGCAAGCGUUAUCCGGAUUCACUGGGUUUAAAGGGUGCGUAGGUGGGCAGGUAAGUCAGUGGUGAAAUCUCCGGGCUUAACUCGGAAACUGCCAUUGAUACUAUCUUUCUUGAAUACCGUGGAGGUCAGCGGAAUAUGUCAUGUAGCGGUGAAAUGCGUAGAUAUGACAUAGAACACCAAUUGCGAAGGCAGCUGGCUACACGAAUAUUGACACUGAUGCACGAAAGCGUGGGGAUCAAACAGG